RNA transcript from Daucus carota subsp. sativus, 1800 nucleotides. RefSeq lists it as uncharacterized. NCBI's taxonomy places the organism in Eukaryota, Viridiplantae, Streptophyta, Magnoliopsida, Apiales, Apiaceae. The record is from RefSeq and is a predicted model, not a curated record. The transcript has 7 exons.
UGACAGUUUCUCCCUCGGCUCUUCAUUUUCUUCUUAUCUCUGUAUAUAAUGUACGGCUGCCUUUUUGAUUUAUCUCACAUAUUCUGCCUCGCCUGCGAUUUAUGUUUUGUGGUGGCUUGCCUCUACUCUCUCAGUUUUUUUUUCCACCUGAUUUAGGUUUUAGGGUAAAUGGAUGCAGUUUUGGUGUGUAUAUCAACUGGGAUUAUGCGGCACACCUUCAUAAGGGAUGGUUCCCCCAAAAAACGUGGCAGGCCGGAGCUGUGUCUGAUACAAGAGGUUGCAGAGGAGCGCAGGGCGGUGAAGCGAGAAAUGCUGCUCGUCGGGACCCAGAUAAAAUAAUCAAUCUUAUCAAGCUACAAAUCUACAAUUGGCCUGUGACUGAAAGUUUCAGAUAUGAAAUCAGUUGGAACCCUGCCAUUUGAGAAUCUCCCGGUUGGCACUCAACCAAGAAUGUCGGGUCCAUAAGGCACAAAAUUUUUUCUCGCAAUUGUAGGAAUCUGGUUGUUGUUUCCAGCAUCAACAGAUGUCCUUCUUGGGGAUGUUGGUGCUGGAAAAUCAAGUCUGGUUUUGCCUUUUGUCAAAGGGCAAUUUGUCGAAUUUUAGGUGCUGCCUUCUUCUCACAAACAGUGGCUGUAAAUGACGCAACUGUAAAAUUUGAAAUUUGGGACACUGCUGGUCAAGAGAGAUAUCAUAGCUUAGCCCCAAUGUACUAUAGAGGAGCUGCAGCUGCUAUAAUAGUGUAUGAUAUAACAAACCAAGUAUAAUUCACCUGGUGCAUUGAUCUUCGCAUACUUGGUGUCAUAACUGGAUCAGAAUUGUGAUGCCAAAUUUUUUGCCUGCAAUUUCUUGAACUAGAAACAAAACAUCUUUUAAGUGGUAACAUCAUCCAAUGUGUAAUAUAAGUAUAACUUUGAUACACAUUUUAGUUAUGGGAUGCAGAGACUGGUAAAGAAGUUAGCUGAUACACUGAGCACGGUAACAGGGCUUGGUCUGUAGAAUUUUCACAAGUUUCUACGAAAUUAGCUAGCAGGGGUGAUGAUCGCUGUGUGAAACUCUGGGAUACCAAUCAGAACAGCAGUGUAAUGACAAUCGGGAUUAUUGCACCUGUCUGCUGCGUUCAGUUCCAUUCGAAAUCCAGAAUUUGCUUGCCUUUGGUGGUGCAAACUACAAUACAUACUGCAUGCAUCUUCAAAAUCCUGAAUAAACAUGGUGUAUGUUAGGCGGCCAUGCCAGUGCUGUUAGCUAUAAAAAAAAAAUUUAGAUUCAUAAAGCGUCAUUCUGCAUCUACUGGCAGUAAACUAAAAAUUUUGGACCUCAACAAGCGCGGAAGUUGCAUUUCAACCCUUGCUGGACAUACUAAUGAAAAGGUGUUUGCAUAUCAUAGAUCCUUUUCAAUGCCGAUCACUUCUCACAAGUUCAGCUUGGCUGAUGAUGAUGACGGACGUUUUGUUUCAGCUGUUUGUUCGCAAAAGCAAUCUGAGAUGCUGGUUGCUGCUAAUUCCGUUGGAUCCAUAAAACUAUUGCAUAUGGUUUGAAUGCCUGUUCUGUUAGUGUAGUUGAUUACAGAAUUGCAGCAGUGUUGUUUCUUGUCAUGACAAAAUAGAAUCGGUGUUUUUUUGUAUUCUGCUAAAUAAAGGAGAGUGCUAUCAAAUUUUUGUGUUAAAUAUGAUGGCAUCUUCAAAUGUGACCUGAAUUUGCAACUUAGUUCUCACAAGAGUUGUAUGCUGACCUUUCCCUCGAGCAGACCUCAAAUGUGAAUACUACUAAUACAAGCAGAGAUCAUCAUGUUUCUUUUUUAUU